GAUGAAGAACGUAGCGAAAUGCGAUAAGUAAUGUGAAUUGCAGAAUUCAGUGAAUCAUCGAAUCUUUGAACGCACCUUGCACCCUUUGGCAUUCCGAAGGGUAUGCUCGUUUGAGUGUCAUUGUACUCUCACACUUCCAAUUCUUUGGAUUGGGAGCGGUGGACUUGGGUGCUGCUGCUUACCGUGGCUCACCUCAAAUGUGUUAGUGCAACCGUUGGUUAGACAUAGUACAGCGUGAUAAGUAUCUUCGCUGGCGCCUCACCAGAGGGUGGCUGAUCAGGGCUUUGUGCUUCCAAUCGUCUUCGGACAACCGCUGGCAACUUGACCUCAAAUCGAGUAGGACUACCCGCUGAACUUAAGCAUAUCAAUAAGCGGAGGA
RNAcentral lists this unclassified non-coding RNA (379 nucleotides) under soil metagenome. Its description in RNAcentral is "partial contains 5.8S ribosomal RNA, internal transcribed spacer 2, and large subunit ribosomal RNA". The stretch from base 1 to 120 matches the Rfam family "5.8S ribosomal RNA", at positions 35 to 154 of the family's 154-position model. The record is from RNAcentral.